Molecule: ribosomal RNA, 301 nt
Filed under: uncultured bacterium
Lineage: Bacteria
Description: partial 16S ribosomal RNA
Rfam family: Bacterial small subunit ribosomal RNA
Source: RNAcentral
CAGUCGCCACGGUAAAACGUAGGGCGCAAGCGUUAUCCGGAAUUAUUGGGCGUAAAGAGCUCGUAGGCGGUUUGUCGCGUCUGCCGUGAAAGUCCGGGGCUCAACCCCGGAUCUGCGGUGGGUACGGGCAGACUAGAGUGAUGUAGGGGAGACUGGAAUUCCUGGUGUAGCGGUGAAAUGCGCAGAUAUCAGGAGGAACACCGAUGGCGAAGGCAGGUCUCUGGGCAUUAACUGACGCUGAGGAGCGAAAGCAUGGGGAGCAAACAGGAUUAGAUACCCCCGUAGUCCCUGUUUCUUAUAC